GCAGGCGCCACCGUGGUCCCACGAAACUGGGCCUCUUCACAGACAGACCCACAGUUCGCGAGCAUGGCUCAGCGCUGCCCCGCUUCUCCCAGCGCCCCUUCCCGACCUGUGAACGCCUUUACCGCCCUAGGAAAGCGAGAUCUUGUCAGAGAACCUUCCGGCGCCUGUUUCCUGGCAGUGGGGCAUAGUCCAACAGCUGGCUCCCCCAAGAUAGCCAGCGGCCAUUACGCGCUUGGGUCGGAGGAGAUGGAGUCGCAUUUAGCCGCACAGCAGCCUGGGACCUGAAGUUUUCGGCCGCUGAGCGUUCUGGGUGAUUGCGUAGUGCGAGGGCCAACGAAACCUUCUGGGAAGUGUAGUCCAGCAAGCCGCUCACUUAUCGUGAGGCGUCACAUCCUGCUGCUUCACCCUCUGGUGCACGGGAGGACCAACUAUUUCAGUCGAUAACUUGAAGGUCAUGAUGUUCUGUUUUCUGGUUAUGCUGACGACUCAAAUCAGGGCCAUCAGAGAUUUCAAUGCACUGUCAAUCUACAAGAAGGGUAUAUGAUAUGCAAUUGUUUCACAAACACUGUAACAAAUGAUUUUGAAGAGGACAUCUUAGGAUACUCUGAGUUACUCCAACUUGGACAUUUCACAGAUGAGGAAAUUGAAGAUCGGAGUGGUGAAGAGACUUUAGGUUAUACAAAAGGCUCUGGCUAAGAAGCUGAUCUACAAAAGGCUCUGGCUAAGAAGCUGAUCUGGGAUGCAAACCCAGGACUGUUAUGUAAUGAUUGUUCCAGGAUAUGAUGCCAAUGUAGGAGGCAGAGAGAGUCAAACCCAGGGAUAGUUUCUCUUAUCCUUGUAAGUCAGGCAGUGAAGAGGAGAGAAUGGGGAUUUUGAGUUAAUAGAGGACAUGUCACACAACAUAGAUGAAAACACUGCCUAGACAGGGGGCUGGUUAACAAAGCAGGGUAUUAGGAAGAUCUCUGCCAUGGCAGGGGCCAUGUGGAGAGACUCAGCAAGCCAGUCAGAAAAAUUCAUCCCGUCUGAAAAAUUCUUCAAGCUGCAGCAGAACUGGGACAUCCGUUUAAACAGGACAGCUCCAUGGGACUAGCUUCAUGAGGACAUGUUGAAUGAGAGUCAGACUUUCCAUCACACUCCCCCAUGAAAAGAGAGAAUGAGCUAAGCUUAUCUGCCUUGUCUGUAAAAAAGAAGUUAAACCUAUGGCUGGUCACUUCAUGCACUUAGCAGUGUCUGGGACAUGGUAUCUACUUCAUAUCCAGUUGUUACUAUUAUUCUAAAUAUCUAUCACUAUCAAGCACACUAGUUAUGGGUCCCAUCAGUCUAGCACCUUAAACAUGUACCCCCUCAAACUCAUAUGCCGAUUACAAGAGUCUACUGGGGGGCAUCAAAACUCUGCAACCAAAGUUCACAGGUAAAACUCUGAGACCUGUGAUGUGUAUUAACGUACAGAAUAUUAUUAACGUACAGAAUAGAGAUGAAAAUUCUUCUUAGUUCCCAGGAUCCGUGUGAUGAAUUUAAAGAAAUAAUGUAAGCACCCUGUAAACUGCAAAUGACUAUCCAAAUGUGAAGGAAUAUCAUUACUGUUAUUACUAUUACUGGUUAUUGCUAUUUUUAGAAUACUCAGGAAAACACAUAUUCUCAUCAAAACACUUUUCUUAAUAGUUUAGAUCAAUUUCCUUUAUCAUUUUAUUCUGAAGCCCUUCAGAAUAAAAGUAAAGGAAGGUAAAUAAAAGUAAAAUUAAAGUAAGGAAAAAAGCUGAAGGUAAAACCCAAGAGAAUAACAACAUUUUAGAGGAAGAGGGAAGAGUCAUCCAAAGAACUAUGGAUGAGAGUGGGCAGACACAUGAAGACAACCAGAGGAAAAUGUCACAGAAUGCAGGGGAGGAGGAAGAUUCAUAAUGUGAUAAUGGUCAGUGGUGACAGAUGAUACAGGAGUCCAAGAAGCUUGAAAAGAAUAAAAUCUGAAGACUUCAGGUAAACAGUAAAGGAGGAAAUGGGUAUAGGGAUCUAUGCUCAGGUUAAAUGACAGAUGAGUUACUAUAGUUAUUUAUUUAUUUAUUGAAAUGGAGUUUUGCUCUUGUUGCCCAGGCUGGAGUGCAGUGGCCCAAUCUCAGCUCACUACAACUUCCAACAACUCCUGGGUUCAAGCAAUUCUUCUGUCUCAGCCUCCCAAGUAGCCGGGAUUACAGGCAUGCACCACCACGCCUGGCUAAUUUUGUGUUUUUAGUAGAGACAGGGUUUCACCAUGUUGGUCAGGGUGGUCUUGAACUCCUCACUUCAGGUGAUCCACCCGCCUUGGCCUCCCAAAGUGCUGGGCUUAUAGGCGUGAGCCACCAAACCCGGCUAUUUACUAUAUUUAAAUAAAUAUUUAUGGGUUUUUUUCUUUUUGAAAUACAUUUGUUUUGUUUAUUCAAGUACUUUAACUCAAGCAAUUUAACAAAUGUUUAUUAAUUAAAUCAAGAUACCAUGCACGAGGCCAAACAAUAAUAUAUUAAGAACACUGGAAGUUAAAAAUAAAAAAAAAAAUCUGGCCUGAAUUCUACCUCCUCCACUUAUGAACUUUCAAAUCUUUUUUUUCUAGCAAAGGUUGUCCAUCGCUGUUAAGAUGACCUUGAACACUUUACAUGACUUUCUGAGCCUCUUUUUCCUCAUUAAAACAGAGAUUGCAUCACCCACUCUGCUUCCUCACAAGGAAUUUGUGAGGAUUAAAUUAAAUAAUGACUAUGCAGAUAAAAGUACUGUUAUUCAGCAGGAGAGAGGCAUGUGCAUUAAUAAGCACGAUGAUAGUUUAUUAUAUAUGGUGAGAAAUAUUACUGAUGAGCGGACUGAAGCUGUUCAUUGCAUAUUCUCUCUGUAGGAAAUUCUAAAUGGAAAGCUGACUAUAGUCAGAAAAAUGCCAGAGAUUGGUAUGGGAUCAAAGGUGAAUUUUAAUGGCUAAUGUCAACAUCAUUGUCUGAUGUGUUGAUCUUAAUAUAUUCAUAUUUCAUGUUUAUCUUUUAUUGAUAUCAAGCACUCAUUUAAAAAAUCAUAUUUCUAAAGUAUAUAUAAUAAUAUGGAGAAAUGAUCACAAUAUAAUGCUAAGUAAAAGAAGACAGAACUCUCUGUAUGGUGUGAUUCUAAUUUUGUUUUACAUAUUAUAUAUAAAGAAAGAUACAAAGCCUAUAUACUAAAAGAAUAAUGUUUCCUUUGCAGUGGUGGAAUUAUGAGUGGUUUAUCUUUGGCUUUAUAUUUUUCUGUAUCCUCCUAAUUUUAUAUAGUAAACAUUUUUUAAUGUUAAAAAUAUUUAAAAUAAAGAAUCUUAGAACCUUC
This is a long non-coding RNA of Pan troglodytes (chimpanzee), 3309 nucleotides long. RefSeq lists it as uncharacterized. The transcript is spliced from 4 exons. NCBI's taxonomy places the organism in Eukaryota, Metazoa, Chordata, Mammalia, Primates, Hominidae. The record is from RefSeq and is a predicted model, not a curated record.